GGGUGUGGUGGCACACGCCUGUAAUCCCAGUGGCUUAGGAGGCUGAGACAGGAGAAUCGCAAGUUCAAAGCCAGCCUCAGCAACUGCGAGGCGCUAAGCAACUCAGUGAGACCCUGUCUCUA
RNAcentral lists this small RNA (122 nucleotides) under Marmota monax (woodchuck). Lineage: Eukaryota; Metazoa; Chordata; Mammalia; Rodentia; Sciuridae. The record is from RNAcentral.